GGAUUUCUGGAGAAGCUCACAAUACGUGGGUGCCGAAGGUGCAAGGCCGCAAGGCCAAAUCUCUCAGGCAAAAGGACAGAAGU
This 83-nucleotide non-coding RNA is filed under the name bovine gut metagenome. Its description in RNAcentral is "Glycine riboswitch". It matches the Rfam family "Glycine riboswitch aptamer", at positions 7 to 88 of the family's 94-position model. From Rfam's summary of the family: This family represents the bacterial glycine riboswitch. Glycine riboswitches usually consist of two metabolite-binding aptamers domains with similar structures in tandem. The record is from RNAcentral.